Molecule: transfer RNA, 85 nt
Filed under: Felis catus (domestic cat)
Lineage: Eukaryota; Metazoa; Chordata; Mammalia; Carnivora; Felidae
Rfam family: tRNA
About the family: Transfer RNA (tRNA) molecules are approximately 80 nucleotides in length.
Source: Rfam by way of RNAcentral
GCCUGAGUGGCUCAGUCAGUUAAGCGUCUGACUUUGGCUCAGGUCAUGAUCUCGCAGUUUGUGGGUUCGAGCCCCGCAUCGGGCU